Long non-coding RNA from Gallus gallus (chicken), 2496 nucleotides. RefSeq lists it as uncharacterized. Lineage: Eukaryota; Metazoa; Chordata; Aves; Galliformes; Phasianidae. The transcript has 4 exons. The record is from RefSeq and is a predicted model, not a curated record.
GCCGCCCGGACAGUUGGUGCAGGAAGAACGCAGCAGUAUCAGCGCACUCCAUCCCGGGGAUCUGAAUGCAUUGGUGGAGAGAACAGGGAAAUAAGAGGUAAGAGAGAGAAAAAAACAAAGCAGGCAAAUAGCACAGCUGUCCACAGGGGGCGGGGCUUAAGGCAGGGCCUGUGCCGGAGGGUGGCCCAGCACAGUCGGGGCCUCGGGGCCCAGUCUGGAGGGGGCCUGGCACAGUUGAGGCCUCCUCUGGGUCCAGACCAAAGGGGGCCCAGGCGGGAGGAGGACCAGGCUCAGUUGGGGCUGCUUUGGGGCCCAGUCCGGAGGGGGGCCUGGCACACUUGGGGCUGCUUUGGGGCCCAGGCUGGAGGAGGACCAGGCUCAGUUGGGGCUGCUUUGGGGCCCAGGCUGGAGGGGGCCUGGCACAGUUGAGGCCUCCUUUGGGCCCAGUCUGGAGGGGGCCCAGGCAGAGCCAGGGCCUCAGGGCCCAGGCUGGAGGAGGACCAGGCUCAGUUGGGGCUGCUUUGAGGCCCAGUCCGGAGGGGGGCCUGGCACAGUUGGGGCUGCUUUGGGGCCCAGGCUGGAGGAGGACCAGGCUCAGCUGGGGCUGCUUUGGGGCCUAGUCCGGAGGGAGGCCCGGCACAGCCAGAGCCUUGUGGCAGCAGUCCAACUCUCAAGUUCAACCUUUAACCAUAACCUAAAACGGUAACCGUAGUGAAAGGUAGUGGCAGAUAGAGCUGCUUUACUGUGUUUUAAUUUUCCCAAGAAUAGUGAAGGACUCAAGCUAGUAAAGAAAGACCCCUUUCUGAAGAGCAGGACUCAGAAGGUAUUACCAGAGAGCAGAUCUCCCAGUAGAGAUUCUUCCCCUUAGACAGCCAGCCCUUAAAUGAGGUUAGGGGGGGCUGGGACCAGGCUCCACCCCUUUUCUGCACAGGUGAAACGCUUCCAGCUGUGCUCCGCAGCAGACCAUGUUUUAACAAAGGUGAAAGCCUGUGAAACAAAAGAAUCCCUUCUUACUUGUUUCACGUUUGUGUUUGUUGACCGCAGUUCCAACCAGGUGGACUCUCAAUGUCUUGCAAGCGACACCUAGAAGCAGGUACAGGCAGGAGGCACAGCACCCUGCAACCUCCAGGGGCCUUUGUGCAAAUGUUCAUGUCCUAGAAGCACGUGGCGGAGCACGUCCUGGGAUCAAGGUGCCAUGGACUGGAAAAUGCAGCUCUGGACAUACAGGCUUGGCGGAGUUCCUGUGUGAAGACAAAACUCCCAGUACUCCAGAAACGUGGAGGCAGAAGAGCAGUGACAAGUUCCAGUCGAAGGUCUCUGUUCAGCCAGUCCAGGAGUGCGUGGGCAGACAAAGAAGCGUUGUGCAGGCAGGGAAAAAUGAGUGCUGUGGGUCCUGGGAGCAGCAAUGCGUGAGGCUCCUCCUGCUAGUGCUCUUCCGCUGGAACGUCCCUUUGGUUUUCUACUUGGGAGAAUAUUUGAACCCGUUGAAAAAGGUCUGACUUGAAGCGAGGGUGCAGAGCAGAUUUAACCUCUGCAGGCGUGUAUGCCAGAGCAUGAAGCAUCGUCAACAAGCACGGGGUAGCACCAGCUUGAAACAGGGGAAGCUUCCACAGAGCCCCCAAAUGGAGUCCCAGGGUGAUGAGAUGAAGCUGAUUUUGGCAGCAUUAAAGGUGGUUUUCCAGGAUCUGUGCCUUCUAGGGCUGGGGGCUGUCACUGGGGUUGCUUUCACAGGACACCCCCCAGCCCACCUCAGGACCCACGGGGAGUCUGUCGGUGACAAAUGUGUCACUGAGUGACAGCAUCAGGGUGGGAAUGUGUGGAACACAGUGCCCAGGGCAGAGCCAAGCGGCGCUGGGGGGGGGUCAGCCCCAAGGAGAAAGCCUCCCCCAUGGAAGAAAUGGAUUGCUUAAUGCCGUGGGUGAGAUGUUGUAGAACAGCAAAUUAAUGAGGUUAAAAGGUGCCGCCCGGGUACUGUGGGAACCUCCUCCCACCCUGCAAGUGCUGUCCAAAGCUCUCCAGUGCCCCCUGCUGCUCUUUGCAGUUCCCCACUAAGCUCCCGUUGUCUCCCAGUAUUGUCCAGAGUCUCCUUGUGCAAACUCAGUGCCCCCCAGUGCUGCCUGGAGCCACCCCAGUGCUGUAUGCGGCCCUCAGUAGCCUCCCAGCGCCCCCCAGUGGACUUCCCAGUGCCUCCAGUAGUGCCCAGUGCCCCCAGUUCAACACAUGCACUGCUCAGCACGUGACCGUCGCCUUCCCCAGGAACAAAACAAGGCAACAGAGACGUUGACAGCAGCGAUGGUGAUGGAGAUGUUCAGACUGGAGGAGCUCUUGGCUCGCUGCAGCCACCCCAGCAUCCCCAGAGCUCCCUGCUGGCCCUGGAGGAGUCAGAGUGCUCUGUGAUGGAAGAAGAGGAGUCGAGGCUGCUGGAGACAUCUGGGCUCAGUGGCUCCGUGGCAGUGAUGCACUGCAUCAGCUCUUCCAUUUGGCAGCUGUUCGCAG